AUGAUUGCGUGGCCCUCACGGCUUAAAUCUGGGCACAGCGGCUCAGCCCAGCAGUUUGUGCCUCCCCUCUAUCCGAGCGUCUUUGCGAGGACUGGAGCGAGGAACAAGGCAAGCCUUGGUUCUGGAAGGUGCUCACGUCUCCAGAGCCACUUCUGCUUUUCUCCCAGCCCUGUUCCCAACAGGCAGCUGGGACAUCCAGCAGGAGCACCUGCAGCAGCAGAGGUGAGUUGCAUGGGGACACCUUGCACAGGCAGCAUGAGGUUCCUCCUUGAGGGACCCUCCCCACCCCAGAGAUUUACUGUGACCCCUCUCUUCCUCUUCCAGAGUGACACCCGCCGCUGCAGCUCCUGUGCCUGGGAGGAGAUUGUCACCUGCUGUUCCUCCCAGCCCACCAGUGGCAAGCAUGGCCGCGGCACUGGACACCCGCUGCCCAAUAUGUCUGGACACCUGGGGCAGCGCCGCGUUCACCAUGCCGUGCUGCCACCAGUUCUGCUAUCCGUGCAUCUGGCGGUGGCAGACAGCAAGCCCGAGUGCCCCCUCUGCAAGAGGAGAAUUACAUCUCUAGUGCACUCGGUGCAGGCUGAUGAUCAGUUCGAGGAGCUCGUCAUCAGCCCAUCGGCAGUGGCAUCUGCCAACAGGCCGCCUGUCUGGGCUCCCAUCACCUUCGCUGGCGGCCUCCCCGCGGACACCUGGGGACAACUCUUCCGGAAGCACCCUGCUCUCCUCCAGCCCCUGCUCUCCUGGGUGCGCCGGGAGCUGGGGCGCGUCUUCGGGGCACAGCGUUUGGAGGCGCUCAUCUUGGAGAACGCCGUCAUGGAGAGCCUGCGCCUCUUUGGCCUUGAGGAAGACCUCCUAGUCCAGCUGAUGGAGCUCGACCUCGGCCACCACGCGGCGACAUUUGUCAGUCAGCUCCUGGAAGUCGCCGCGCAACGGUGCAGCAGGGAGGCCCACCGCCUGCUGCGACUGAACGCUCCACCUGCAGCCCAGCAGCGGGAGGUCAGCCCCGCACCCGGACCAUCCGGACACGGAGGGGUGGCUCCUCCACCCGUUCCAGGCCCCUCUCCACAGCCCGCCAGCUCCAGCGGGGAUGAGGUGCCUGCAAGUUCCAGGGACAGCCUGCGAGGGACUCCCAGCCACCCUCACUCCAUCUCUGCUGCGGUCCCCAUGGAACAGGCAGCGCCUCCAGAGGAGCCAUAG
RNAcentral lists this long non-coding RNA (1197 nucleotides) under Anas platyrhynchos platyrhynchos (common mallard). RNAcentral describes it as "lncRNA (ENSAPLG00000025529.1)". The record is from RNAcentral. Lineage: Eukaryota; Metazoa; Chordata; Aves; Anseriformes; Anatidae.